CGUAGGUGACCAGCGUUGUCCGGCUUUACUGGGCGUAAAGAGCGCGCAGGCGGUCGUUCAAGUCGAGUGUGAAAGCCCCCGGCUCAACUGGGGAGGGUCAUUCGAUACUGAUCGACUCGAAGGCAGGAGAGGGUAGUGGAAUUCCCGGUGUAGUGGUGAAAUGCGUAGAUAUUGGGAGGAACACCAGUGGCGAAGGCGACUACCUGGCCUGUUCUUGACGCUGAGGCGCGAAAGCUAGGGGAGCAAACGGG
Molecule: ribosomal RNA, 251 nt
Filed under: uncultured bacterium
Lineage: Bacteria
Description: partial 16S ribosomal RNA
Rfam family: Bacterial small subunit ribosomal RNA
Source: RNAcentral